This 495-nucleotide ribosomal RNA is filed under the name uncultured bacterium. Its description in RNAcentral is "partial 16S ribosomal RNA". It matches the Rfam family "Bacterial small subunit ribosomal RNA", at positions 28 to 507 of the family's 1533-position model. The record is from RNAcentral.
GACGAACGCUGGCGGCGUGCCUAAUACAUGCAAGUAGAACGCUGAAGGAGGAGCUUGCUCUUCUGGAUGAGUUGCGAACGGGUGAGUAACGCGUAGGUAACCUGCCUGGUAGCGGGGGAUAACUAUUGGAAACGAUAGCUAAUACCGCAUAACAGUAGAUGUUGCAUGACAUUUACUUAAAAGGUGCAAUUGCAUCACUACCAGAUGGACCUGCGUUGUAUUAGCUAGUUGGUGGGGUAACGGCUCACCAAGGCGACGAUACAUAGCCGACCUGAGAGGGUGAUCGGCCACACUGGGACUGAGACACGGCCCAGACUCCUACGGGAGGCAGCAGUAGGGAAUCUUCGGCAAUGGACGGAAGUCUGACCGAGCAACGCCGCGUGAGUGAAGAAGGUUUUCGGAUCGUAAAGCUCUGUUGUAAGAGAAGAACGAGUGUGAGAGUGGAAAGUUCACACUGUGACGGUAUCUUACCAGAGAGGGACGGCUAACUACGUG